GAGCAAAUGAUGAUUUAUAUUCAUUAGAGCUGAUUAUUCCGUGAAGUUUACUAAUUCGAGCUUUUUAAAACUGAUGCUCA
Benincasa hispida (wax gourd) is the source of this 80-nucleotide small nucleolar RNA. The record is from RefSeq and is a predicted model, not a curated record. NCBI's taxonomy places the organism in Eukaryota, Viridiplantae, Streptophyta, Magnoliopsida, Cucurbitales, Cucurbitaceae.